Molecule: ribosomal RNA, 484 nt
Filed under: uncultured bacterium
Lineage: Bacteria
Description: partial 16S ribosomal RNA
Rfam family: Bacterial small subunit ribosomal RNA
Source: RNAcentral
AUUGAACGCUGGCGGCAGGCCUAACACAUGCAAGUCGAGCGGAUGAAGGGAGCUUGCUCCUGGAUUCAGCGGCGGACGGGUGAGUAAUGCCUAGGAAUCUGCCUGGUAGUGGGGGAUAACGUCCGGAAACGGGCGCUAAUACCGCAUACGUCCUGAGGUAGAAAGUGGGGGAUCUUCGGACCUCACGCUAUCAGAUGAGCCUAGGUCGGAUUAGCUAGUUGGUGGGGUAAAGGCGUACCAAGGCGACGAUCCGUAACUGGUCUGAGAGGAUGAUCAGUCACACUGGAACUGAGACACGGUCCAGACUCCUACGGGAGGCAGCAGUGGGGAAUAUUGGACAAUGGGCGAAAGCCUGAUCCAGCCAUGCCGCGUGUGUGAAGAAGGUCUUCGGAUUGUAAAGCACUUUAAGUUGGGAGGAAGGGCAGUAAGUUAAUACCUUGCUGUUUUGACGUUACCAACAGAAUAAGCACCGGCUAACUUCGUG